CCCUCAUUAAUUUUAAGUCUACAUCUAGUCAACUUUGCUGUCUAAAAUCUUCUUCCACUUUUUUUUUUUUUCAAGUUUUAUGUGUACUCCCUUUAAUAAUACUUUUCAACUAUACCCUACUUCACACUUUGACUUGUUCUUCUCAAUUUAUAAUUCCAUUAGACAUGCUCCUACUUGGAUGGUCUAUAAAUAUGAUUAGGAUAGAGAAACUUAGCAUAUCAAGUAUCAAAUCUCAAAAUGAAAGCCAUUCUAGUGGUCUGUUUUCUCUUGCUUUCCACAUUUUUCAUUCCUUCUUCAAAUGCAGCUAGAGAUUUAGCUGAUCUAUCUGCAGUAACAGUACCUUCUCAGGAUCCUCAUAAGCCAGUAAUUACGUGUGGUCGUGGAAAGCCUUAUCGUGAAUGUCUACCCGGCCCCAGGAAGCCAUCUCCACCUAGCAAGUCCUACCCAUGAGUGUGGUCGUGGAAAGCCAUAUACUUAUGUAUUCCAAAGCCACCAAAACCUUGUUUCAUCUACGGUCGCGAAGGUUGCUCAUCACCUUAAACCCCUUUUGACUUUUAAAUAAUGGCUAUUAUAAAUAAGUCAUCUUUGUUUGAUGUAUUAUAUAUGGUUUGGGGUUUGUGAUGCCUCUAAUUCGCAGUGUUGUAAUAAUUUGCAUUCAAUAAGCUACGACCUUUUUCUUU
Long non-coding RNA from Quercus robur (English oak), 680 nucleotides. RefSeq lists it as uncharacterized. Lineage: Eukaryota; Viridiplantae; Streptophyta; Magnoliopsida; Fagales; Fagaceae. The record is from RefSeq and is a predicted model, not a curated record. The transcript is spliced from 2 exons.